This is a small nuclear RNA of Arvicola amphibius (Eurasian water vole), 108 nucleotides long. The record is from RefSeq and is a predicted model, not a curated record. NCBI's taxonomy places the organism in Eukaryota, Metazoa, Chordata, Mammalia, Rodentia, Cricetidae.
GUGCUGGCUUCGGCAGCACAUGUACUAAAAUUGGAACCAAUUUGAGAAGAUUGGCAUGGCCCCUGCGCAAGGAUGACAAAGCAAAUUUGUGAAGCGUGUAUUAUAAUU